Molecule: ribosomal RNA, 433 nt
Filed under: uncultured Flavobacteriaceae bacterium
Lineage: Bacteria; Pseudomonadati; Bacteroidota; Flavobacteriia; Flavobacteriales; Flavobacteriaceae
Description: bacterial LSU rRNA
Rfam family: Bacterial large subunit ribosomal RNA
Source: RNAcentral
CAAUAGCUAAAUAAGAGCGUAUGGGGAAUGCCUAGGCUCUCAGAGGCGAUGAAGGACGUGAUAAGCUGCGAAAAGCUGCGGGGAUUGGCACAUACAAAUUGAUCCGCAGAUAUCCGAAUGGGGCAACCCAGCAUGUUGAAGACAUGUUAUCCGUAAGGAGGCGAACCCGGAGAACUGAAACAUCUAAGUACCCGGAGGAGAAGAAAACAAAAGUGAUUCCGAUAGUAGCGGCGAGCGAACUUGGAAUAGCCCAAACCAGUAUUGUUACGGCAAUACUGGGGUUGUAGGACUGCGAUAUUUGAGCUAUAAUGAAUUAGAACUGUUUGGAAAGACAGGCCAUAGAAAGUGAUAGCCCUGUAUAAGUAAAGAUUAGUAAGAUAGCAGUAUCCUGAGUAGUGCGGGGCACGUGAAACCCUGUAUGAAUUUGUCGGGA